Molecule: unclassified non-coding RNA, 200 nt
Filed under: soil metagenome
Description: partial contains internal transcribed spacer 2 and large subunit ribosomal RNA
Source: RNAcentral
GAGCGUCAUUUCAACCCUCAAGCCCAGCUUGGUGUUGGGAGCUGUCCUAACCGACACUCCCCAAAUUGAUUGGCGGUCACGUCGAGCUUCCAUAGCGUAGUAAUUUACACAUCGUUACUGGUAAUCGACGCGGCCACGCCGUUAAACCCCAACUUCUGAAUGUUGACCUCGGAUCAGGUAGGAAUACCCGCUGAACUUAA